AUGUGUAUGCAUGUAGGAGUGCAUGCGUGUGUCGUGUGUGAGUGGGUGUGUGCAUGCAUGUUCAUGUGUGUGCACGUGUGUGAGCGUGCAUGUGUGUGUAUGUGUGAGUGUGCAUAUAUGUGCGUGCUCUAUCUCCUCGCCACGCCCCAGUGUGUGCAGGACCGGAGCCAGGCGCCCUCCCGAAGCCUGGGCUGGCGUUUACGCGGUGCCGCUCGCCACGCUGUCUGUGAGAGAAGCCCGGGGGCCUGCACCUGCCCUGUCCAACCACUGGAGCUCCGGUCCCCAGAACCCAGAGGCCCUGAGCCGGCCGACACAGCAUCCCAUAGGGACCCUGGGACCGCCUCCCGGGGGGUACCCAUGAGGAGGAAAGGCCGAGGAAGAGACGCCCCUGCUCCUGGGCGUGGCCGGGAAGGGCGGGGCGGUUCCCUGUGCGGAGGGCCACGGCGGGGGGGGGGGGGGAGGUGGCGGGGGGGGGGGGGGGGAGGUGGAGAGGGCGGAGGUGGUUCGCACGGGGCAGACCCACCUACGGCCUGGGUGCGACCCCGGGUGUUCCGAAGAAACGGGUUAAUUUUACCUUUCAUUAGCAAACCGGCCAUAUUAUUUCUAAGGGGGCGGGGGCUGCCGUCGGGAUGUGAUCCCAGUGUUUUCUCUCCCUCGGGAAUCUCCUGGGUGGAAGCCACUUUGACUCCCUUGGAGGAAGCAGCCCCGUCCCCAGCGCCCCCCUGGAGAAGGGCUGGGUCCGGCGGAGCGGGGGUUGUGCGGGGUCCCACGCGCAGGGUCCCAUCCACCCGAGGAAAAGGGGCUUCCUCAGAAAAACCCACAAAGGCAACGGGGGCAGCAGCUGAGCCUCGUCCGAGCCGGGCCUGCUGGACGGGAGCGCGGGGCAGGCGGGCAAAGGCCGUGCAGGCGCCGCGGAGGAAACGCGCCCCUCUGCGUCCUGGAGCGGCUCCACCGGGCGGGCCGGGCCUGGGCUGUGCGCGAGGAUCUGCUGCGCUGCGGGACGCGGCUCGGGGGCGUCUGCGGCCCCCCAGGAGGGACCCCGGAGGCCGCGGGUUGGGCCGGGCUCCCACGUGGCGGCCCCGACUCCGAGCACCGGGCGAGCCUUAUGCGCCGCGGAGACCCGCGUCCCCCACACCCGGACCCCGCGCGCCCAGGGCGGCCUCCGCCUGCGUCCGCCUCCGCCGGGUCCGGGAAGCGCCCGCCCCGCUGCACAGACCCCGGCGUCUCCUCCCCGGCUGGGCCGCCUUGUCAGGAUAA
This 1257-nucleotide long non-coding RNA is filed under the name Papio anubis (olive baboon). RNAcentral describes it as "lncRNA (ENSPANG00000044165.1)". Lineage: Eukaryota; Metazoa; Chordata; Mammalia; Primates; Cercopithecidae. The record is from RNAcentral.